AAGGGAGGAAAAUAAGCUGCAGCGAUGCCGCGAGAGUGAAGAAGCCCCUUGUGUUGUAAAUCUAUUACGUGAGGAAGAAAAAGACUGUACCAGAAUAAGAAGGUCCGGCUAACUUUGUCACAACAGCCGCGGUAAUAGGAAGGGACCUAGGGUAUUUGGGAAUUUAUGGGCUUAAAGAGUUCGUAGGUGGUUGAAAAAGUUAGUGGUGAAAUCCCAGAGCUAAACUCUGGAAGCGCCAUUAAAACUUAUCAUUUAGAGUAUGAGAGAGAAAAGCAAUUCUUCUAGUGUAGAGGUGAAAUU
Molecule: ribosomal RNA, 300 nt
Filed under: uncultured Gammaproteobacteria bacterium
Lineage: Bacteria; Pseudomonadati; Pseudomonadota; Gammaproteobacteria
Description: bacterial SSU rRNA
Rfam family: Bacterial small subunit ribosomal RNA
Source: RNAcentral